Molecule: ribosomal RNA, 433 nt
Filed under: uncultured bacterium
Lineage: Bacteria
Description: partial 16S ribosomal RNA
Rfam family: Bacterial small subunit ribosomal RNA
Source: RNAcentral
AACGAACGCUGGCGGCAUGCCUAACACAUGCAAGUCGAACGAGACCUUCGGGUCUAGUGGCGCACGGGUGCGUAACGCGUGGGAACCUGCCCUUAGGUUCGGAAUAACUCCCCGAAAGGGGUUCUAAUACCGGAUAAUGUCUUCGGACCAAAGAUUUUUCGCCUUUGGAUGGGCCCGCGUUGGAUUAGCUAGUUGGUUGGGUAAAAGCCUACCAAGGCGACGAUCCAUAGCUGGUCUGAGAGGAUGAUCAGCCACACUGGGACUGAGACACGGCCCAGACUCCUACGGGAGGCAGCAGUGGGGAAUAUUGGACAAGGGGCGAAAGCCUGAUCCAGCAAUGCCGCGUGAGUGAUGAAGGCCUUAGGGUUGUAAAGCUCUUUUACCCGGGAUGAUAAUGACAGUACCGGGAGAAUAAGCUCCGGCUAACUACGUG